Molecule: long non-coding RNA, 805 nt
Filed under: Rhinolophus ferrumequinum (greater horseshoe bat)
Lineage: Eukaryota; Metazoa; Chordata; Mammalia; Chiroptera; Rhinolophidae
Description: lncRNA (ENSRFEG00010004064.1)
Source: RNAcentral
GCAUCCUCAUCGCAUUUAUCACAAUUUUAUUACUUCUAACAUGAGUAUUUCAAAUUUGAACCAUUCAAAGAUAAGAUGAAAUUAUACCAUUGUAGAUUUUAUGAUUAAUUUCAAUUUUUUUCUCACAAUAUAUAAAAUUAUAUUUUGUUUAGCCCCUUAGCUUUCAGUGGAAGAGUUGCUCUGAAUAAUAAAAUACACCGUAACUCUAAAUGGGAAUCUUCCACAAAUAUAAUUAUAGAGAUGAUAUGCAAUCUCAUUUGGCAGUUCACAAAAUUUUAAAUCUUCUAUUGUGAUUUCCCUAAAUUUAAUGGAAUUGGUAGGUUUAGUAUUUAAACCACAACUGCAGUUAACUUUUUAAAGAACAUUGUAUAUGGUAUAAAGUAGCAUUCCACCUUAAAUGGCCAGUUGAUUGCUCAGGCUAUGUCACUUUCUAAAUUUAGGUUCAACGAGAGCAGGUUGAUGGUUAUUUGUGUCAGAUAUCUCUCAGCAGAGCAGGAGUGAUGAAAAAACCAAAAUCAAAAACGAGGGAGUGCGGUGAAUAUCAUUUGUUUUCCUUCUACCAGACUCAGGAUUAUAUGAUAUUUGGGACCCAGAUUGCUUCAAGGAUUAUUUUUAUAUGUAGUUAAAAAGGUAAUAUGUUAUUUAUGGAAAUACUAUAAUGCAUUAAACAUUAUGCUGAAAUCUGUGUUACUUUUAAGUCUAUUUUUCUCUCUUGUGGGGGUGUCAUAUCACAUGCCUGCCAAAAUUAGUCUUGAUGGAUCUGAAUUAUAUAUCUAAACGUUUGUUGUUUUUGCUGUUGUUAGAG